Molecule: long non-coding RNA, 220 nt
Filed under: Elaeis guineensis (African oil palm)
Lineage: Eukaryota; Viridiplantae; Streptophyta; Magnoliopsida; Arecales; Arecaceae
Description: long non-coding RNA (EGUI_LNC039223)
Source: RNAcentral
CUGAACCUACAACUAGUGUGCAGGCACCGAGGCCCAGCACCCUAUUAUGGUCUAUCAUGGAUCGUAGGGUGCUGGAUGGUCCAUGGAAGCCGUGUGGACUGAUCACACAGUCUACACAUAAUCUAGGGGCAUUUGUGUACAAUCUGACAGUUCAGAUUACGUGCGGUCACGAUCGAAUGGUUGGAACUCAAUCUAAACAUGAUCAGGCUUGAUCUGAGGC